RNAcentral lists this unclassified non-coding RNA (1779 nucleotides) under Nilaparvata lugens (brown planthopper). RNAcentral's name for it is "uncharacterized LOC111047636, transcript variant X1". The record is from RNAcentral. Lineage: Eukaryota; Metazoa; Arthropoda; Insecta; Hemiptera; Delphacidae.
UUACUUUUCGAGUUUCGAGUCGGUCAAUCUCUUUUCUUUCUGUUAACAAAUUACUUAUUAUUCUAUUCAAUUAACUAACUUUUCAAAUCCUCAUUAUUUCCAAUUGAGAUUUGAAUGAUGAUUUCUUUGGAGUUACGCUGAUUGAAUUUCUCUGAUUACAAAUUAGAAAAAUAACCUCUAACAACUCAUUCAACAAUAUUUCAACUCAACAUCAUUGUUAUGGAUUCAGGUUUUGUGAAGACAUGAAUAAAUGAUAAUUGAACUAAGUUCAAUUCAUUGUUCAAUUUAUUGAUCAGAAACUGAUCCACUCAUAACAGAACUUGAACAUGAAAAGUCUGCCAGUAAGAUCAAUAUUUUUACAUCACAUCUAUCCACCAUAGCUGCUAUUUUAAUUUGGCUAGUCAGGAUCAUAUUAUAAACACGCCGCUUUCAUCCUGGGUAUGCACUAGUUGACACAAAGCUGGAGGCCGGACGGGGUUCCAAGACUCCGUUUCUAACGAGUUGUGGAAAAUAUCAACACUUCAGAAGAUUUCGGCAAGUCAGCAUCUGCAUUAUGUAUACAAUCAUACACCACAUUCAUCUUGUGUGUGCACUACUUGACACCAAGUGGGCGCUGGAGCUUCAAGACUUCGAUUCCAAUCAACUACAUAGUUGCGGACAAAUCAACACUUCGGAAGCUGAACGCUCAUGGAUUGAGAAGAUGGAUCACCAGCCAAUCAAGACAUCUACAUUAUCAAUGGUACUCAGUAUAUUUUCACAAUUCAUCGAAUCAUAGUGGAAUAGAAUCAGAUAAGUUAAAUGUAAAACAGGCCUUAGUUCAAUGAAUCAUCAUAAGUUGACCUAUGACCAGUAUCUAUUCUCAAUUGGAAAAUUGGAGAUUCUCAAUUCGAAAAUAAAGUGAUAUAAACUGUAUGAACCUAAUUCGAAUUACUUAAGUUCACUGAAUGAUAGAAACACCAUUAAGUUGAUAAUAAUGUGACCAAAACAAUCCAGAUGAUUGGAUUAAUAAAUGGAUAGAAAUUGCUGCAGUAAAUAAUAAUAAGGUUCCAAUUCCAGUCAUAAUUAGGUACUAAUUCUAGAAAAUAUUUUAGUAAAUAAUAAUGAGAUACUAGUUUUAGUCUCCAAAGUUUUCCACGAACAAAUACUUACACUUACUGAUUUUUUAUUGGACUAAGAUCUAUUUUGUUGUACUAGCAGAACAUGAAGUAAUGAACUAGCGUUAACUUAUAUAAGGUUCCUUGCAUUCCACUGUACAUACAUGAAUUAUAAAUAUGAAGAAAAUAAAAAUCUCAGUACCCUUUUUUUAAAAUAUUUUAUCACAACAUGUUUCGGUCAUUUUUAUGUCAUUUAUACAUGACUUAUAUUUAUUUAUUAUGAAGUUUCCUUAAAAACAAUUUUAAUUCUUAAGUAAAUAUUCUUUUAGUAUAGCAUUUUUAGAAAACUCACUGAAAGGAAGAAUACUUGUAUUUACAGUGAAAUGCAAGGCUUCAUCACUAUAAAGUAAUUUUAACUCAGCACUCACUUGAGUACUUUAUGUAAUGUUUAUUUAGACAAUUCUAGGUUCUAGAUCAGUGUUUUUGAACCUAUUUAAUACGGCACACUACUGUUAUGCAAAACGUCUGACUAAAGUUGUAUUGGAAAAAGAUCAAAAGAGAUUAUUCAUAAAAUGCAAAACCAAGAUACACAGAUCCUUCAUGUUACAACAGGAUAAUAAUUUCUUUACUAAUCCAUUCAAUACUCAGCAUAUCUUAUAAUGCUCUAAAAAUAUCCAAUCACUGA